CGGGUGUUAAAAGUGCUGUUUGUGCAGGUAGCUGUGUUUUCUCUACUGUAGAAGCAGCACUUCACGACACAC
Cyprinus carpio carpio is the source of this 72-nucleotide microRNA precursor. NCBI's taxonomy places the organism in Eukaryota, Metazoa, Chordata, Actinopteri, Cypriniformes, Cyprinidae. The record is from Ensembl.